This 253-nucleotide ribosomal RNA is filed under the name uncultured bacterium. Its description in RNAcentral is "partial 16S ribosomal RNA". It matches the Rfam family "Bacterial small subunit ribosomal RNA", at positions 524 to 776 of the family's 1533-position model. The record is from RNAcentral.
UACGUAGGGUGCGAGCGUUAAUCGGAAUUACUGGGCAUAAAGGGUGCGCAGGCGGUCCUGCAAGUCAGGCGUGAAAUCCCCGGGCUUAACCUGGGAAUGGCACUUGAAACUACGGGACUGGAGUAUGGCAGAGGGAGGUGGAAUUCCACGUGUAGCGGUGAAAUGCGUAGAGAUGUGGAGGAACACCGAUGGCGAAGGCAGCCUCCUGGGCCAAUACUGACGCUCAUGCACGAAAGCGUGGGGAGCAAACAGG